RNAcentral lists this ribosomal RNA (351 nucleotides) under uncultured Lachnospiraceae bacterium. RNAcentral describes it as "bacterial SSU rRNA". It matches the Rfam family "Bacterial small subunit ribosomal RNA", at positions 1 to 339 of the family's 1533-position model. The record is from RNAcentral. Lineage: Bacteria; Bacillati; Bacillota; Clostridia; Lachnospirales; Lachnospiraceae.
AGUAGUUUGAUCCUGGCUCGAGAUGACGCUGGCGGCGUGCCUAACACAUGCAAGUCGAACGAAGCUCCGGACCGGAACUCUUCGGAGGGAAGUGAAGGAAGACUGAGUGGCGGACGGGUGAGUAACGCGUGGGCAACCAACCCUGUGCAGGGGGACAACGGCUGGAAACGGCCGCUAAUACCGCAUAAGCGCACGAGUGCCGCAUGGCACGGUGCGAAAAACUCCGGUGGCACAGGACGGACCCGCGUCCGAUUAGCUGGUUGGUGGGGCAACGGCCCACCAAGGCGACGAUCGGUAGCCGGCCUGAGAGGGCGACCGGCCACAUUGGGACUGAGACACGGCCCAAACUCC